This 72-nucleotide transfer RNA is filed under the name Tremella mesenterica DSM 1558. RNAcentral's name for it is "tRNA-Thr (CGT) (tRNA-Thr-CGT-1-1)". It matches the Rfam family "tRNA". From Rfam's summary of the family: Transfer RNA (tRNA) molecules are approximately 80 nucleotides in length. Their secondary structure includes four short double-helical elements and three loops (D, anti-codon, and T loops). Further hydrogen bonds mediate the characteristic L-shaped molecular structure. tRNAs have two regions of fundamental functional importance: the anti-codon, which is responsible for specific mRNA codon recognition, and the 3' end, to which the tRNAs corresponding amino acid is attached (by aminoacyl-tRNA synthetases). tRNAs cope with the degeneracy of the genetic code in two manners: having more than one tRNA (with a specific anti-codon) for a particular amino acid; and 'wobble' base-pairing, i.e. permitting non-standard base-pairing at the 3rd anti-codon position. Lineage: Eukaryota; Fungi; Basidiomycota; Tremellomycetes; Tremellales; Tremellaceae. The record is from RNAcentral.
GCCUUCUUGGCUCAGGGGUAGAGCGCUUCACUCGUAAUGAAGCGGUCACUGGUUCGAAUCCAGUAGGAGGCA